UGCAUGUACACACAUACACAAAAAUAAAUGGCAACUCAGUUGCUGGAGGGGUGAGUGUGAAAACUGCAUGAUCGUGAUCGUUUCCUCAGACUGAGCUAUAGAGCUAUGGAGAAAGUAUCUGGGAAUUCACGUGAUGCACCAGGUGGAACAAGUACUUCUCCACCACAAAUGCCAGAAUAUGACAGCUCUGAUAUCUAUGAGGAUUCCUGUAGAGAAAGUGAAUAUCAUGAUGAUGAAGAAUAUAGUGACUUUGACACGCACCUGCCUUCAACAUCGGCAUCACAAGGUGGGUGUAGACGCAAACUUGUGAUAAAAUCAUCAAGGAGAACACCCCUUCCUAAAAGGACAUGUGCAGAGGUGUCAGCUGAUGCUAGUGUUUCAACAGCUGGCUCAAAAUAUAGUUUUCAGUGCAGUUCUGCAGACAAUUUUGUCCCACAUUUGCAUGACUUUGAUUGGUCUGGUGACAUUGGAAUUACUAAUGAAUACCAAUUGCCUGAAGAGCCUGAAGAAUGUGAUUACUUUCUUUAGUAUAUGGAUGAUAAGUUGCUUGACCACAUUGUAAGAGAAACAAAUGGAUAUCAAGCACAAAAGAGUCCAAAUGUACAUCCACCAGACUCACAUCGAAAACAGUGGUGUGACAUCACACGGGAAGAGCUCCUCAUUUUUCUUGCUGUCACAGCACUUAUGCCACACUCCAAAAAACAUGUCCUAACAGACUACUGGAAAUGGGGUGAUAUACUCUCCAUACCUGUGUUUGCAGAGUAUUUCACUAGACAGGUAUAAGUGCAUUCUGAGCUUCCUCCAUUUUGCCAAUAAUGAGGAAGAAAAUGAGGCUGAUCCUUUGUGUAAAAUCAGACCAGUCCUCACAGACACUGUACUGAAAUUUAGAAGAUUCUUCAAGUCUUUCUAGAAACUGGUAAAUGAUGAAUCUUUGAUGAUGUUCAAGCAGUACAUACCCUCAAAGCAUCACAAGUUUGGACUGAAACUCUUCAUUUUGUGUGACUGAGAAUCUGGAAUAGUACUGGAUGUAAUUAUUUACUCAGCCAGUGAUGCAGACAUCCAUAAGAAAGAUCCUCUUGGUUUUUCAGGUGUUGUCAAGCAUCUAAUGAGGCACUCUUUAGAAAAAGGGCUUGUGCUCUACACUGACAAUUAUUAUACUAGCCCAGCACUUGCCAUAUAUCUGGAUGAGAACAUAACAGGUGCAGUAGGAACACUCAGACAAAAAAAAAAAAAAAAAAAAAAAAAAAAAAAAAAAAAAAUUCAUGCCCAUAUUUCAAAAGUUACCAUGAGGCACCAUUCAGAAAGCACAGUCAGAUGGGAUACUGUUGAUGCUAUGGUCUGAUAAGAAACCAGUUCAAACCAGUUCGUCUUCUCUCCACCACUCACACUAAAGAAAUGAAGGACUCAGGGAAAACUGACUGAAAAAAAAAAAAGAUCUUCAAGCACAACAUUGCAAAUGGCUUUAACAUAAAUAUGAGGCUUAUUGACAAAAGUGAUAUGCAAAUUACCUGUGUUGAAUGAUUGAGGAAAUCAAUGAAAUGGAGCAGGAAAAUGUUUUUUCACUUACUGGAUAUAUGUAUGCUAAAUGCAUAUAAUAUGCAUAUAAUAUGUUCUUGUAAGAACAGGGGAAAGGACUUCCCUUUGCCUCUUUAGUAAGCAAGUUACACUGCAAUUACUGCAAAGGUAUGGGAAAUGUAUGUUCAUUCACUCAUGCCCUGGUCAUCAAAGCAGAGAUGCUAGAGAAACCACUUUUCCUCGGCUGCAGUUCGUGGAUGCACUCAGACUCCAAUAUCCAGUGCCUGUACCCACACCACCAGGAAGACAGGCAUGGAACGGACAGUGUGAGUGUGUUGUUUGUAAAAAUACCACCAUGAAAGAAUAGGUACAAAGGAAAGUUGACUAUGUGCAAAACAUGUGACGUGGGACUCUGCAUCGGUGCCUGUUUCAAGGCUUACCACACCCUGGAGACAUUCUAAAUGUAAACCUUGAAAAGAUAUAGAAUAUUUUAGAAAUAAAAGAAAAUAGAAAAAUAAGGUUUGAAAAUAUUUAGAAAUUGAGAAAAUAGAAAAAUAAGAUCUGGAAAUAAGGAAACAAAAAAAUAAGUCCAUGAUAAUGUUUCUUAUGAUGUUGCAAAGAAAUGUGGUAAAGCAAGAUUCAACACCUUCUGUUACCAGGUACAUUAACCGUAUAUCCACAAACUGCAGACGAGAUACUGUGUUCGUGCAUCUUGGUUCUGCUGACCAAGUGGCGAAAGAUGAGCAAACAUUUCCUAUACACUUUUGCAGUAACCCAGGAGAACGGACAUGUCAGAUCUUCACACGGGUACAUUCACUGUACAUCCACAAACUGCAGACGAGAUACUGUGUUCAUGCAUCUUAAUUCUGCUGACCAAGUGGUGAAGGAUGAGCAAACAUUUUCCAUACACUUUUGCAGCAACCCAGGAGAACGGACAUGUCAGACCAU
This is a long non-coding RNA of Scylla paramamosain (green mud crab), 2463 nucleotides long. RefSeq lists it as uncharacterized. The transcript has 3 exons. The record is from RefSeq and is a predicted model, not a curated record. NCBI's taxonomy places the organism in Eukaryota, Metazoa, Arthropoda, Malacostraca, Decapoda, Portunidae.